RNAcentral lists this ribosomal RNA (497 nucleotides) under uncultured bacterium. RNAcentral's name for it is "partial 16S ribosomal RNA". It matches the Rfam family "Bacterial small subunit ribosomal RNA", at positions 28 to 507 of the family's 1533-position model. The record is from RNAcentral.
GAUGAACGCUGGCGGCGUGCCUAAUACAUGCGAGUCGAGCGAACAGACGAGGAGCUUGCUCCUCUGACGUUAGCGGCGGACGGGUGAGUAACACGUGGAUAACCUACCUAUAAGACUGGGAUAACUUCGGGAAACCGGAGCUAAUACCGGAUAAUAUAUUGAACCGCAUGGUUCAAUAGUGAAAGACGGUUUUGCUGUCACUUAUAGAUGGAUCCGCGCAGCAUUAGCUAGUUGGUAAGGUAACGGCUUACCAAGGCAACGAUGCGUAGCCGACCUGAGAGGGUGAUCGGCCACACUGGAACUGAGACACGGUCCAGACUCCUACGGGAGGCAGCAGUAGGGAAUCUUCCGCAAUGGGCGAAAGCCUGACGGAGCAACGCCGCGUGAGUGAUGAAGGUCUUCGGAUCGUAAAACUCUGUUAUUAGGGAAGAACAAAUGUGUAAGUAACUAUGCACGUCUUGACGGUACCUAAUCAGAAAGCCACGGCUAACUACGUG